ACAGAUUAACCCAUUUAGACAAAACAUCUCAAAUUCUUAUCCAUUUCAUUGACACCAAAAACAAAAGCAAAUGUGUUCUUUUUUUUUCUUUUUCUUUUUCUCUCACCUUCCUAUACUUCUUCUCACAAUGGCUCCCAUGCCUUCACCUUGAGGCCUAGCCAAGAACUUUCUCACCACUGAGCGAGGUUCUUUCACAACAACAUCAGAGUUCUCUUUCUCAGGCAUUUUGCUUUUUUUUUUUUUAAUUUUCCUUAUCUCAAUGAAUCUCGAAGCAAAUUUAUGCAACAACUUUUAAUUUUCCUUAUCUCAAUGAAUCUCGAAGAACAACAUCAGAGUUCUCUUUCUCAGGCAUUUUGCUUUUUUUUUUUUUAAUUUUCCUUAUCUCAAUGAAUCUCGAAGCAAAUUUAUGCAACAACUUUUUUAUGCAGCGAAUGUGAGAAAGAGAACGAGAAAGUUUCGAGUAUAUAUAGGGAGAAAAAGAGAGAGAGAGAGAGAGAUAAGAGUUUGUUAAUGAAUUUGGAAGG
RNAcentral lists this long non-coding RNA (524 nucleotides) under Citrus sinensis (sweet orange). RNAcentral describes it as "long non-coding RNA (CSIN_LNC001643)". The record is from RNAcentral. Lineage: Eukaryota; Viridiplantae; Streptophyta; Magnoliopsida; Sapindales; Rutaceae.